This 425-nucleotide ribosomal RNA is filed under the name Verrucomicrobiota bacterium. RNAcentral describes it as "Verrucomicrobia bacterium partial 16S ribosomal RNA". It matches the Rfam family "Bacterial small subunit ribosomal RNA", at positions 355 to 776 of the family's 1533-position model. Lineage: Bacteria; Pseudomonadati; Verrucomicrobiota. The record is from RNAcentral.
UGAGGAAUAUUGGUCAAUGGGCGAGAGCCUGAACCAGCCACGUCGCGUGAAGGAAGACUGACCUUACGGUUUGUAAACUUCUUUUGUAGAGGGGUAAUGGCAGAUACGUGUAUUUGCGCGAAAGUACUCUACGAAUAAGCAUCGGCUAACUCUGUGCCAGCAGCCGUGGUAAUACGGGGGAUGCGAGCGUUAUCCGGAAUUAUUGGGUUUAAAGGGUGCGCAGGUGGCUAAUCAGGUCAGUGGUGAAAAGCUAUGGCUCAACCAUGGUAUUGCCAUUGAAACCGUAUAGAGAGAGAGGAGACGAGGUAGGCGGAAUGUGUGGUGUAGCGGUGAAAUGCAUAGAUAUCACACAGACCACCGAUUGGGAAAGCAGCUUACCAGGCUUUAUCUGACACUUAGGCACGACAGCGUGGGGAUCAAACAGG